Molecule: ribosomal RNA, 475 nt
Filed under: uncultured prokaryote
Description: bacterial SSU rRNA
Rfam family: Bacterial small subunit ribosomal RNA
Source: RNAcentral
GGGUAGUCCCAGCCGUAAACGAUGCUCACUAGGUGUGGGGGAGAUAAAUCCUCCGUGCUGAAGCUAACGCGAUAAGUGAGCCGCCUGGGGAGUAUGCCCGCAAGGGUGAAACUCAAAGGAAUUGACGGGGGCCCGCACAAGCGGUGGAGCGCGUGGUUUAAUUGGAUGCUGAGCCAAGAACCUUACCAGGGCUUGACAUGCCGGUGUACCGACCCGAAAGGGGAGGGCCCAUCUCCUAUGAGGUGGGGGCCGCACAGGUGGUGCACGGCCGUCGUCAGCUCGUGCCGUGAGGUGUUGGGUUAAGUCCCGCAACGAGCGCAACCCCUGCCCUUAGUUGCCAGCGGAGGAAGCCGGGCAUUCUAAGGGGACUGCCGUCGACGAGGCGGAGGAAGGAGGGGAUGACGUCAGGUAAUCGUGCCCCUUAUGCCCUGGGCGACACACGCGCUACAAUGGGGGAGGGACAGAGGGGAGGCGA